CACUGCCGAGAAAAGCCUCUAGAUAGAAAAUAGGUGCCCGUACCGCAAACCGACACAGGUAGUCAAGAUGAGAAUUCUAAGGUGAGCGAGCGAACUCUCGUUAAGGAACUCGGCAAAAUGACCCCGUAACUUCGGGAGAAGGGGUGCUCUUUAGGGUUAACGCCCAGAAGAGCCGCAGUGAAUAGGCCCAAGCGACUGUUUAUCAAAAACACAGGUCUCUGCUAAACCGUAAGGUGAUGUAUAGGGGCUGACGCCUGCCCGGUGCUGGAAGGUUAAGAGGAGUGGUUAGCUUCUGCGAAGCUACGAAUCGAAGCCCCAGUAAACGGCGGCCGUAACUAUAACGGUCCUAAGGUAGCGAAAUUCCUUGUCGGGUAAGUUCCGACCCGCACGAAAGGCGUAACGAUUUGGGCACUGUCUCAACGAGAGACUCGGUGAAAUCAUAGUACCUGUGAAGAUGCAGGUUACCCGCGACAGGACGGAAAGACCCCGUGGAGCUUUACUGUAGCCUGAUAUUGAAAUUCGGCACAGCUUGUACAGGAUAGGUAGGAGCCUUUGAAACGUGAGCGCUAGCUUACGUGGAGGCGCUGGUGGGAUACUACCCUAGCUGUGUUGGCUUUCUAACCCGCACCACUUAUCGUGGUGGGAGACAGUGUCAAGCGGGCAGUUUGACUGGGGCGGUCGCCUCCUAAAAGGUAACGGAGGCGCUCAAAGGUUCCCUCAGAAUGGUUGGAAAUCAUUCAUAGAGUGUAAAGGCAUAAGGGAGCUUGACUGCGAGACCUACAAGUCGAGCAGGGUCGAAAGACGGACUUAGUGAUCCGGUGGUUCCGCAUGGAAGGGCCAUCGCUCAACGGAUAAAAGCUACCCCGGGGAUAACAGGCUUAUCUCCCCCAAGAGUUCACAUCGACGGGGAGGUUUGGCACCUCGAUGUCGGCUCAUCGCAUCCUGGGGCUGUAGUCGGUCCCAAGGGUUGGGCUGUUCGCCCAUUAAAGCGGUACGCGAGCUGGGUUCAGAACGUCGUGAGACAGUUCGGUCCCUAUCCGUCGUGGGCGUAGGAAAUUUGAGAGGAGCUGUCCUUAGUACGAGAGGACCGGGAUGGACAUACCUCUGGUGUACCAGUUGUCGUGCCAACGGCAUAGCUGGGUAGCUAUGUGUGGACGGGAUAAGUGCUGAAAGCAUCUAAGCAUGAAGCCCCCCUCAAGAUGAGAUUUCCCAACUUCGGUUAUAAGAUCCCUCAAAGAUGAUGAGGUUAAUAGGUUCGAGGUGGAAGCAUGGUGACAUGUGGAGCUGACGAAUACUAAUCGAUC
Molecule: ribosomal RNA, 1304 nt
Filed under: Staphylococcus aureus
Lineage: Bacteria; Bacillati; Bacillota; Bacilli; Caryophanales; Staphylococcaceae
Description: partial 23S ribosomal RNA
Rfam family: Bacterial large subunit ribosomal RNA
Source: RNAcentral